Molecule: long non-coding RNA, 29393 nt
Filed under: Citrus x clementina
Lineage: Eukaryota; Viridiplantae; Streptophyta; Magnoliopsida; Sapindales; Rutaceae
Description: Citrus clementina (C. clementina) long non-coding RNA (CCLE_LNC004427)
Source: RNAcentral
AAUCUAUUAUAAUAUGAAAUUUUCAUUUAUCGUCUAGUGUUUGAUAAAGAAAACUAAAGCCUGCCAUCUUAAAAUUAAGAAACUUUUGACAAUGAACUUCUAGACAUGCGUAUUCUAUGAAAAUAAAUAAACCAAUUCAAUAUUACAAGUUCAAAUUACAAUUAAGAAUGAAUAAAUGAAAGAAAUACAUUAUUUUAAUUGAGAAUUGAGAUUUAAGAGGGUGAUUUUAGUUUUUGAAUUAUAAUCUAUGGCAGUAGAUACGAGAACAAAAUAAUCUCUUUUAUAAAAUAAUAAAAAGAGGUUAAAAUGUUGCCCUCACAUUUGGAGGGUAACAGCCCUGACCACUCGGCCAAAGUCUCUUUUAUGAAAGCAGUUCAAAUCCCCACAAAUGUAUUGUAGGGAUAAUUCUUUUGUUAACUAUGUAUAAUCGAGUGAAUGUAGUUUUCUCCCUUGCCAAGUGUGAGACAAGUAGACAUCUCUCGAAUAUUUAUGAAUGUUAAAAAUUUGAACAAUAUUUUAUUAGAAUUGAUAUAAAGUAGUUCUAAUAAUAAAUUUUGUUCGAAGAACAGACAGGUCGACCCUCGGUACGAAUUGGAUUUGGGAGAGUCAGCCAAAGUAGAUAAUUAAAGCUCUGCCCCAGUGACUUCGUUCAUUCCUUUAAUUGUUUUAUUGACAAACAAAUUAACACUCUCUAUUCAUUUCAUGUUAACAUUGGACACAAAAUCUAAUAUCCUACUAAAACAAGCUUCGCAAUCGCUCCAAUCAGAAAAAUAAGGCCGAAAAUCGAGCUACCAAAAAACAACAAAAAAAGGCAAAUACUUAUAUACAAUGGGUAACCAACUUCUUCCCAUAAAAUAAUUACAGAGUAUUGAUAUUUGAAUCGAAGAAUUCAUAGCCGUAGUAACAAAAUGACAAUAAAAUCAUAUGUUGUUAUAAUGUUAGGUAAAAAAAUUAGAACUAUUUUCAAUUAAUACUAUAAAAGUGCAGUCGGAGUCUUCAAAUCAUAAUCCAACAUUUCGAAGUCUCCUGGUGAUAAAAUUUUCCCGAACACUUGCAAUCCGAAGUACAUUGCUCCCUUGUAUACUUUGCUCAUAAAAUGAUUUGACUCCUUCAACCGUCUAAAUAAUGAAAAUCAUUUGGCUUACAAGAAGCAACUUUCUUCGCCUAGCACUCUUUGUUCCGGCCAAGCAGACCCUUUUCUGUAGGGCACGCUACACGCUGAUUGAUCACACACUCCCAAAUUACCACAUCCCUCCGGCAGCUGACACUUUGUAAUGUCCCAAUCUGAAUCUCUGUCAAAGAAUGUGAAUAUCGUUUGCGUUGGACCCCAAUCAGCACUUCCAUCGCAAGGGUAGAUCUUGAGAUUUCAAGAGAGUACCCAUCGGAUAAUCAAAACUCUGUCAAAUAAAGUUUCCCUUUUGAGUCAUGAAGCACCAUGUUGACAUUUGAAAGCAACUUGAAUACACGAUAAAAUUAAGAAUUUUGAACCUACAUAAAAGAUGAUAGGAAUAACUAAAAUUAGAAUUAAUUAGACUCACAAUUUAGAGAUUAAUUUUGAAAGACUAAAUAAUUGAAAGUAAGUCCUUUUGAUUUAUGAGGACUGGGAUGUAAUUACAUUUCAUGCGCUGACACACAUGCAUUGCUCUGAUCAAUUAUUUUAUUACUGCCGUGACAAACAAAAUAAAUAAAGAAAGUACUUUCGAUUCAAAGCACCCAAAAUAAUGAAGAAAAACGAAAAGAGUAAAGUGAAUUUUUUUUUAAAAUUUUGUUUUAAUAUCUAUUGUCUUUUGCCUUUAUUUAAUUUCAUAAUAUUUUAAUAGUCAAUUAAAUUAUUUAGAAUUAGACAUUUACACAAACGGUAACAUAAAAUCUUUUAAAAUUAAUUUAGACACUUUCAUAAUUUUAUAUUUCAAUAAAAGCAGUUUUUUAAAUAAUAAAUAAAUCAAUUUUUUUUCUCUAAAGAUAAUCAUCAUAAAAUUUUCAAAAACCAGCUGGAUCCAGCUGGUCCUACGCUGCAUCCGUCCACUGGUGGAACAAAGGAGAGAACAAUGAUACAUGCAUCGUUAAUUUACUCGUGGCCGAUUGCCUGUCUUUACCCCAUGCAAUGCAAUUAUAGACGUCGUUCAAAGCCGCCGAAAGUGAAUGAAAUAAUUGGAUUUGGAGGCUUUUGCCACUGCGGGUAAUAGAAAACGUAUAACGAGCCGCUUUCAAUACUACUUUUGUUUUCUUUAAUUUUGACGUAUUUUAUUUGUUGCCUACGUAAAUCUUUUGAAAGAAUGUUAAAAAUGGCCUAAUCACACACCUUUUGCGGACAAGUUGUCAUUAAAUAUGAGCAUUCAUUGUGGCCUUCUGUUUGGUGGGGUGCGUCCGUCUUCAUUUAUUAGCGUAUCUAUCUGCCAAUAAAAGAUGAUUGAAGAGGCGUAAUUGCGCUACUGAGUGGCUGAACUAUUACUCUCAAAAUUAAAUAAAAUUAUGAGGAUAGUAAUUUGAAUCUUCAUAAUCUUAAUUUAUCUUAAUUAAAUAAAAAAUUAUAUAGAGUUAAUUUGUAAAUAUUUUUAUUUUACGAAAUAUUAAUGAAGUAGAGACAUUAUUCGUAUGUGAUGAUCAUAUAUUUAGGUAUGUACUUUAUAAAAUUAAUGUAAUAAUAUAAGUGUCAGUUAUAUAUCUAAUUGUAAAUAUUAAUAUAAUAUAUACUCUAAUAAUAAUUGUAAAUACUUAUGUAAUAUAUUAAUAUGAUGUAUAAUCAGUAUUAAAAAAAAGAGGCAUAAUUGCAAUCUAGUGAUGAUUAAAUAUCUUAAUUAAUUGGGUUUAUAUUGGUGGCAUAUAAGAUGCUUCAAGAGGCAUAAUUAUGAUCUAAUGAUGAUUAAGCAUCUUAAUUAAUUGGUUCUUUUAUUAUUGAUUAGUUGAUGAGUUCUUGUAUUUAUGUUGAAAGGAUUAUAUUUAUAGACAUCGAAUUUCCAGGGCGUCAAGGACACCACUCAUUAAACAUUUCCUCAAGAAAACGUGAUCUAUUAGACCCCAUUUACUACUUUUGUUUGAAGGGUUGGACUAUUCCUCUUAAAAUUUCCUUUUAGAAUUUUGUAAAUCAGUACACGUUAAAAAUACACAAACUUAUUAUACAUGUUGUGGGUUGGACAUAAAAUCUUAAGAUAUCUAACUCCAGUAAAUUAAGUGAAAUGACCUAUCUUACCUAUAAAUUUAAUUGAGUUCUUUAAAUAACUAAUAUAAGGCACAAUUCAACAAUCUCCCUUCAAAUGAAAUUACCGAACCUCGGUUCCAGCUAUUAAGAUGGACAUGGACAAAUAAGUAUAAAGACAAAUCCCUAGUACGUUAGCCCAUUUUGUCAUGAAAAUUUUCCAUCAGACACUUUAAUGCUACAUAGAUAUUUGUAUGAUAAAAUUUUUAAUCUUUAUAAAAUUUUUAAUCUUUGUAUUAGAUUAAUUGAUAUGUUUUUAAUUAUUAACACAGUUUGUUCAUAAGAAUGUCUCAGAAGUAUUUUAUUAUUAAAACUGAUAUUUUAAUCUUUUCAUAAUAAGAGAAGUGAGUAAAAAAUUCAUUAAUGACUUGGUGCAUUUAAAAACGGGAGAUUUAUUUUGAGUUUAGAUCAAUAUGAUGACAAUAUAGUUUAAAAAAUUUAUUUGAAGGAGACAAGUCUCCACCCUCGGUAAGAGUACAUCAAUCUUUCUUUUAUUUAUUUCAUUGGCAAACAAGUUAACAACUUCAUGUUAACCUUGAAUUAUUACUCCAAAUCUCUUUUUUUUUUAUUACAUUACUCCAAAUCUCUUAUUUUUAAAACAAGCAGUACAAUCUUGAUAAUUAUUACAUGUUGGGAACCUUGAUGAAUCCAACGUGUGUAGAGUUGGGGAAUUUAGUCAGAGUCUUCAAGUCAUAAGCAAUCCAACAUCUCGAUUUAUCCUGGUGAUAAAAAUAUCCCAAGCACUUGCAAUCCGAAGUGCAUUUCUUGCCACAAUCUUCAACUUUAAUGCCCGUUCCAGUUGUGUACUUGCUCAUAUAAUGACCAACCCCGUCGACUUUAUAAUAAUGAAAGUCAUUUGGCCUACAAGAUGUCACUUUCUUUGCCUCACACUCCUGGCUCCACCCAAGCAAACCCUUUUCUGUGGGGCAAGCAACGCAUUGGUUGUCGUCACACACCCCCAAUUUGCCGCAUCUCUCCGGCAGCUGGCACUCCGUUUCAAAAAUCGAGUCUCUAUCGAACAGAGUGAAUGUGAUUUCUGUUGGCUGCGAAUCAACCUUGUCGUAGUAAGUGUAGAUCUUGAGGUUUCCAUCUACUCCUAGCCGGAGGAACGAUAUAGUGGCGUUGUACUUUGGCCUUGCCAAAAUAAGACUGGCCCCGGAUGAAGAAUCUAGAGUCAGUUGAUAAGCGAAAGCUUCAUCAGUUUCCGGGGCAGAAUUGAACGUUACAUUCUUCAAGCCACUAAACUGAAUAGGGAAAGUGUCAACUUUUGUACGGAUUCUACAUUGACGUCGACAGAAACAUACAAAAGAUUUUAUCGAUCGAAUAUUUACAUGAGCAGUGCUAGCGUCAGUCGCCUUUGGGAGCGACUGACGCAGUCGCUGCUUCUAAGGGGGACAAGUGUCCCUUGUCUUUUUUGUACUUUAUUAAUUGCUUUUGUUAUUGUUUGUCUUUUUUUUAUACAAAUUAUUGUUUUAGUUUUUACUUGUAGCACGGAUUAUCAAUUAUAGUCCUUGUAACAGUUAUAAUUUUAUUUUUACCCAUAUAAUUUUAAUGAAAAAAGUCUUUUGCCCUGAAAAUAAUCUUUAUUUUUUAUGCUUAAAUAUUAUAUUAUGAUUUCUUUCAAUUUUUUUGAAAAAAUAAUAUUUAUUUAAGAAUUUAAAUCGACUGCAACAUUUGUUUAACAUGACAAUAACAAUUUUACAUAAUUUUUUUCAUUUCAAAUUUUAUUUUUCUGAGAUAAGAUUUAAAAUGAAACACCAAUGCACCAUUAUUAUUUUUCAAUUCUUAUUUUAACCCCUCUCUUUUAUUAUGAUAUUUACAAAUAAUUUGAGAUGACUGUCCUCUUAAUUAUCAGUGGAGUGAAUUUAACUUAUUUUGAACUUAAAUUUUAAUUUAGAUAUUCAAAUUAUUUCGUAUAAUUAAUUUAGUAUAUUCAAAUAAUUUUUUUAUUAUAAAUAUCAAUAUUUUUGUUAAGUAAUUUAGUGACUUAGAGUGAAAAAUUAUUUUUACUUGUACAAUUUAUUUAAUAAAUUUAAUGUAUAGUAAUGACUCUAUAUGUUUUUUAUUUUCUUAAGAAAAAGAUUAAAUAAAUAUAUAAAAAGUGAUUGUAUAAUAAAAGUAUUUAAUAAAGUACAAAAAAAGAGAAAGGACACUUAUCCCCUUAGAAGCAGCGACUGCGUUAGUCGCCUUGGGAGCGACUGACGCUAGCACUGCUCUAUUUACAUGAUCAAUUUAUUUUGUCUUGAUUCAUUGCUUUUGAUAAAGACACAAAUAAUUAUCGGCCUUGCGUGGCACCUACUCGAUCUCCUUCACAUUCCAAUCAAUUUGUAUUAUUUAUUGGGGAGAAAGUUGUGUGGAACUGUUCCACCGACCCAGUUAACGUGAUGUGAUAGCUCACUAUUAUUUUAUCACAUGGUCGAGUAAUAAGUUUCCCUGAUUUUUUUAAUAUUAAAUUUAAUAAAUCUCAAAGUGAGGCACAUUGAUGAUUCUAUGUUACGUUUAGCGCAAUAUAUAUUCACACACGGUAAUAAUAUCCAUUGGUGGGGGUUUAUUACUGUUGCUGUGAGUGUGCUAAAUUAUGUUCAGCGACCUUAUUUUGAAUCUAUUACUCUGCCGUAUGAUAGUAUAUUAGUAGAUUGUCUCACUACUUCGACAUUAAUUGUAAACUAGUGAGAUAAUUCUGCUUAAGUUUUCUCUAUUUAUUGACUAGAGUGGCUUUGCUUGCGGGAUACGGAAAACGUCUCAAGAGUUGUAAUCAAUAAUUUAAUUUAAUUUAAUUUAAUUUGUCAAUUGUCUUGUUUUGAAUUAAGUCAAUCCGGUUUGUUUUGUUAAAGAUGGCCAAAUCAAACUGGCCAUUUCUAGAAAAAUUUAUUAACGAAUAAGAUGUAUAAUGGAUCAUCGUUUAUUAGCAUAGUCCAAUUGAAGAUGCAUGCUUCUUUGUAAUUAAUUAAUAUAGUGAUUAGACGCCUUACUUAAUUGAAUUAUCAAUAAUUUAAUCUGUCAAGAUUCUUUCUUUGCAUGUACAAAUCCAUUAUGAAGUUUGUUAAAGAUAGCCAGCUCUCACAAUCCUUAAAUUUUUUGGAUCAUCCUUGAUUAGCUUAUAGAUGCCGUUGAAGCUGCUUCAAUUGAAACGUUAUAACCCAGUGAUUAGACGUCCUAUGUAAUUGAAUUAUCAUCUUGAUAUCAAGUAAAGCAAGCUAGCUAAUUUAUGAUUUCUUUCGUGUUAAGGUGUUUUUGAGUAGUUGCUUAGCCAUGGCCGAUCGAUGUGAAAGACAAAAUUUUAACUGUAAAUAAAAGUCGAUUGUGUUUGGUAAUUAUGAUGUUUAAAUAAUAUUUUUGAGAAAAGAAAUAAAAUUAUAAUUUUUUUUUUUAUCAAACAACCAUUAGAUGAAAAAUUACAUUUAACUUGAAAAGCCACAACUAUGAAUGUUUUACAAUAAAUUUUACAACGGUAAUUUUAAAGCUACAAACAAUUCACUGACAGUAAAAUCAAGGGACAAAAGCAUCAAGCAAAAUAAUCAAUUGGGGGCAUUACGUUUAGCUUGUUAACGGAUUUAUCAUACAUGUAUAGAUCAUGGAAACUUGUUCAUGUAAUUGUUUACCCGCACGUAAUCAGUGGGAGCUGAUUUAAACAAAAUCAUCCACAGAUUUAAAUUACCAAAUGGUUAUAAGUCAAAAGUUGUGGCUCAACCCCAUACAGUACCUAUUUCCGUGUUGAAUUCUGAUAUCAAAAUAAGUCGGUGAGAAAGACAAUGCUACACUUAAAAUGACAUAUUUUUUGGUAUUUUAAAUUAUUUAGUAUUCAAAGAUUACAGUGGCCUCCAACUAAUUCAGAUUCGUGCCGAGUAGAACUAUUAGAACAGUAAAACUCUCCCAACAAAUAUUUAACGCACUUGUAUUUCUAAAUUUCGAACUGAGGACCUUAAUUAAGAUAGAGCAAUCCCUUUCCAACUGAUUCAAAUGACAUAUUAAUAUAACCUAUUUUGGAUCCAAAUCCAAGUAGUUUAUUUUUUUUAAUACACAUUUCUUUGUAAAACGAAAGGGAUGGAUAAAAUUUAAAGGGUGAGAAUACUUUCACUCUAAUACUCGUAAAAAUUUUAAUUUUAAUAAAAAUAUAUAUUACAAAAACACCCAUCAUUUGAAUUACUAUUAAACACAAUUUAUUAUAAGCUAAUAUUAUAUAAUUACUUUGAAUACCUAUAUAAUAUACUCAUUAUUCAAUUUAUAAUUCUCAUACUUUAAACCCUAAAACUUUUAUUUCUAACACCUUAAUUAAUAUUUAGAUGAACAAUGAAGAAAUUAAUUUUGAUAGAAAUUUUGACCACAAAGUAUAUGUGAUAUUUUUCUUUUUAAAAAAUAAAAUGAAACAAACGUAUUAUAGAAGAACCUUUUUUUUUGUCUGAACCACGAGAUGAUCCUGAAUAGGUCCUAACUAUAGGAGACACAUUUAAACUCGUAUCACAACCCGACUAAUCCCUGCUCGCACCGGUCGACCCGUAAAAGGUAAAGAACAUUUUUUUUUAAUUUGCCUUGGCCCCUCUUUUUUGUCUUCUUCUUCUUCCUUUUUAUCUUCUAUCUUUUUUUAGUAUUAUUUACUGAAAUAUUAUCAUGUUAUCAUUAUAAGUUAUUUUGGGUGCAAAUUUCAAUAAGGAACAUAAAUAAAUAAAAAAUUAAUAAUAAAAUAUUUAUUUACAACUUGAUCUAGUCAUAUUCUUGUAAGUAUAUGUUAGAUCUCUUAAAAUUAGUAGUUAUAUGGUUUUAUUAGUAUUUUCAGUAAAUAAAGUUUAAAAAAAUUAAAUAGUGUAAGGAAAUAUAUUUUAAAAUUGUAAAAAAUAAACAAAGUAAAAUUUAAUUUUUAUAAAUAAUGUAUGAAUUUAUAGAAUAAUAUAGUGUUAAAAAUAAUAUUUAGGGUGCAAAUAACUUCAUCAGUUUUUUUUUAAUCUUUUACAUAAGAUUUAAAUUCAACAGUGAUUUAAAUAAAACUAUUUAAAAAUCUAUUGAUUGUGACAAAACAGUCUAAUUUGAUGAAGUGCCUCAACCCGUUAUUAUAAAUAGAGCCUAGCCUUAACACAAACUUCAUCGCAUAACAUUUAAUUAAACUACCAAAAUGUCAUCUUCUUCAGCAAUAUUCUCCCUCUUCUUCCUCUGUUCACUCAUUUUCUCCAUUGCUAAUGCACAGGUUCCUGCCAAUGAAAGGUUUAAGUUCGUGAAUGAAGGAGAAUUUGGUCCAUUCAUUAAUGAAUAUGAUGCGGAUUACAGAAUGAUCCGCAUCUUCAAUUCUCCGUUCCAGCUAGGCUUUUACAACACAACACCAAAUGCUUACACCCUAGCCCUCCGGUGGGGUAUCCAAAGGAACGAGCCGCUUUACCGUUGGGUUUGGGAAGCAAACCGCGGCAAACCGGUUCGCGAAAACGCCACCUUUUCUUUGGGGACCGACGGGAAUCUUGUCUUGGCCGAAGCAAAUGGCACCGUCGUAUGGCAAUCCAACACUUCCAACAAAGGUGUUGUGGGGUUCAAGUUGCUCCCGAAUGGAAACAUGGUGCUUCAUGACUCAAAGGGUAACUUUAUCUGGCAGAGUUUUGAUUAUCCGACUGAUACUCUAUUGGUGGGCCAGUCUCUUCGCGUCGGUGGGGUCACCAAGCUCGUGAGCAGACUUUCCAUUAAAGAAAACGUUGACGGCCCUUACAGCUUUGUAAUGGAGUCUGAUAGAUUGUUACUCUAUUACAAAAGCAGCAAUGCUCCCCGGCCUGUUGUUUACUUCACUUUCCCUGUUCAGUUUAGUGGCUUAAAGAAUGUAACGUUCAAUUCUGCCCCGGAAACUGAUGAAGCUUUCGCUUAUCAACUGACUCUAGAUUCUUCAUCCGGGGGCAGUCUUAUUUUGGCAAGGCCAAAGUACAACGCCACUAUAUCGUUUCUUCGGCUAGGAGUAGAUGGGAAUCUCAGGAUCUUUACUUAUUACGACAAGGUUGAUUCGCAGCCAACGGAAGAAACAUUCACUCUCUUUGAUAGAGAUUCAAUUUGGGAAACUGAGUGUCAGCUUCCUGAGAGAUGUGGUAAAUUUGGACUGUGUGAUGACAAUCAAUGUGUUGCUUGUCCUAGAGAGAAGGGCUUGCUUGGCUGGAGUAAAGAGUGUGCACCGACGCUAGUGAAUUUUUGUCGGAUAGCGGCUUUCCAUUAUUAUAAAGUUGAAGGGGUUGAUCAUUAUAUUAGCAAAUAUAAUAAUGGAACUGGACCCAUCAGAGUUGAAGAUUGUGGCAACAGAUGUAGCACGGAUUGUAGAUGUGUGGGGUAUUUUUACCAUCAGGAGACAUCGAAAUGUUGGAUUGCUUUUGACUUGAAGACUCUUACCAAAUUCCCCAACUCUACACACGUUGGAUUCAUCAAGGUUGCCCCGCAAUUAAGUAUCAAAUAAGUGGAUUAGCUCUGUGAUCGAAAUAACAACAGAUAGAUAUGUGGGCUUUCAAUGCCACCACAAUAAUAACUGUUGUUUGUCCAUAUAUAAAAUAAUGAAUGAAUGAGUGAAGUGUUUGCGUAGAUUGUUCUCUGAUUAAUGCUUUGUAUUACUUUCUACCCUUCUUAUGCUUCUUUUUUUUUUGGGGGGGGGGGGGGGGGGAGGGAUAAAACAAUAGUUAGCAGAAGAAAAUGCGAUUAUUUAAGCAUAUAAUUUAAUCAUUCUGUGUUUAGUUAGAUAGGAACUACAAAAGUACAAAUCAAUUUGAGAUUUUUCCUAUUUCUUAAGGUCAAGGUUAAGGUAUAGUUCUGUGAUAAGAAGUGGUCUCUCUCUAAAAUUCAGGUCCGAAGUUCAAGUUUUGCUAGUAUAUCUAUAUUAAAAAAAUUUAAAAAAAAAAAAGAGAAUGAAACACAUAUUAGCGUCGCCUUGUCUUUCUUUUAUUUUUUUCCUUCUUUCUCUCUUUUUAGUGUUAAUGAAAAACUGAAAGGUGAUGAAAUCACGUUUUCUCUUUGACACAUGGAAGCUUCAUAAAAAAGGGCCAUCAUUGUUUGUUGUUGCAUCUGGAAAAUGCUAAUAAGAUGAAGAUCCUUCGCAAUUGUCUUUAUCAAUUUCCCAAUUCUCGACUCGUUGCGAUCUUCUAUGUAUAGACUAUAUCAGUAUAUUGUGGGAAGUCAACAACCUUUAUGGAUAUAUUUGCCGCUCCUCUUUACUGCAGCCAUUGAUGCAUCGCGUACAUAUAAUCAAAUGUGGAUUAUCCGAUCAAAGAUUUUGUAGACUUACAUGUUAGUGUUGGAUAUUUGUGUUUGGUAUUUUAAAAUACCAAUAUUCGAAAGUUUAAGGAAAGAGAGCACACAAGUUGAUUUAUGUAUACAGAAAACAACUUUAAAGAGGUAAGAGGCCCAAUCACAUGAGACCAAGUCUAAAGAGAAGGUUUCAUUUUAAAAACCUCCCGCACCCAAAAACUCAUGCACAGGGAGAGUCCUCAUAGGGAUGGGGGAGUCGUACAUGCAUGCGCGUGCUUGAUCCAUUAUCCUGGAGAUCAAUCCACCUUGUUCUUGUCUGAGAAAUCACCUCUUAAGAGUGGAAAUUAUUGGCCUUUGGGACAACGCGUUCAUUGUUCUAAGGUUGCUGUUCCAGGUGACCUCUUGUUGUUUUGCUCGAUUCUUUUCCAACAAUUAGAUGAUGCUAAUUAUAAGUGAAAUUUAAACUUACCAAGUUUUUUUCAAAUUUCGCCACAUUUCGGGUGAAAAAUUGCUAAAUCCCCAUGAUGAAUGGGAAAGUCAACAAUUCAGCUUAAAAAAUAAAAAUGUCAACUUUGUUGGCUCCUCCGUGUCAAACUUUAUUUGCCAAUUUAGUGAGCACAUCGUUUUGUAUCUCAAUAAUUGUCUUGUUUAUUGCUAUUUAUAGAUCGUUCAAAUCCGCCAAGCUAGAAUGAGUUCAUUUGAGGACAUUACGCAGCAUGUUCUUGAUAUUUCUAGCUUGGGGGAUUUGAACGAUCUAUAAAUAGCAAUAAACAAGACAAUUAUUACUAUCCAGGACAUUACCUAGCGCGUUCCUCCUUUGAGGACACCUCCCGAUUAUCACUAUUGACUUUAUUAAUAUUGCUUUGCUUUCCGGACCAAGAAAAUUUCCCAAGAGCUAGUUGUAACCAAUACUUUUAAUUAAUUUGUCAAGAUUCUUGUUUUGCAUUUAAAUAUUGUUAAUAACGGUGGCCGAAUCACACAUCAUUUUCUGGAAAAUCAGCAAAUAUUAUAUUUUGAACAUUAAUUUCGACCUUUUGUCUAGUGGCUGCACCGUUUAAUUGCUGUAGCACAUGUCAUUGAGAGAUACUCCAACAGCACAGUUAUAAGAUAAUUUUUUAUUUUAAAAAAUUAUUUUAAAUUAUGUGACGUUUAUUAAUUGAUUAAUGAAAUAAUAUAAUUAAUUCACUUAAAAUAUGUACUAUUACUCAAUUCUUUAAAAAAUCACCAACUACUCAACGAAUGACACAUCAAUUGACAUAAAAUUUAGAAUAAAAAUUUUUUUAGAUAUUUAUCAUUACCUUUUGAAGUAUCUAUAUUGUCUCCAAUUAUAAUCUAGUGAUUACUAUAACUAAUUCAAUUAUCCAAUAGAGUAAUAUUACACAUUCAAAAUUUUUUAUCCCAAAAAAAAAAAUCCAAAUGAUGAGACAUUCAUCAAAUGUUUGAUGAGAUAAUACAAAUUUACUUAAUCUUGUAAUGAAUUAUCAAUCACUUAAUGAAUGACACAUCAUUAAAAUUUAAGAUAUCUGUCAUUUCUCUUAUCCAAUAUCAUCUUAUUUAAGUAAAGGGAAAAGAAUUGUUAGGUCCCCAACGUUUGAUGAGGGGACAUAAAAAAACCUACCGUUUUAAAAAAGAAAUGUAAGAGCUUUUCCAUUAAUAAUUCCAUUUAUUUUAACAAAAAAAUGAUAAUAUUAUACAUUUACAACAAAAUACAUGGAAAAUGAUGGUUAACCCCCAACGUUUGGGAAAAUGAAAUAUUUAAAAAAAGAAAUAUAACCACCUUUCCAUUAAUAAAUUUCAUUUAUUUUAGUUAAGAAAAGAGUAAUAUUAAUAUUUGAGUGAUGAUAUAAUUACAAAUUCUUGUACAAACUUAUCUCGUACAAACUGAUGUAGCAUUAAUUCAUUAGUUGAAUGAAAAUAUAAAAUAAUAGAAAUAAAUCAUGUGGGCCAAGGGAUAUUUAAUUUAACCAAUGAAUUAACACCACAUCAGUUUGUACAAAUUAAGUUUGUACAAGAGUUUGUAGCUAUAUCAUUACCCUUAAUAUUAUUAUCAUCAUCCUCAUCAUCAUAAUUAUUGUUAUUUAUUAAUGUCAUUUUUAUAUUAAUAAUAAUAUUGUUAAAUUUUAUUAAUUUUAUCAUUUUUAUUAUUAUUAUUUCUACUACUACUACAACUACUGCUACUAUUAUUACCUUUUCUCAAUUAAAAUAAACAAAAUUUAUUAAUGGAAAUGGAGUUAUAUGUCUUUUUUUAAAAAAACAUUAGGAAAUUUUAUGUCCGUUUCCCUAAAUAUUGGGGAGUUAACAGUCAUUUUUUAUAUAUUUUGUGGUAACUGUACAAUAUUAACAUUUUUCCAUUAAAAAAACAUAAUUAUUGGCAAAAAAGAGAUUUAUAUGUCUUUUUUAAAACGUUAGAGUUUUUUAUAUCUCUUUUCCCAAAUGUUAGGAAUACUUUAAUAUUUUUACACAAAGCUAAUAUUCACAUAAUUUUAAUUUAUUAAGGUCUCCGAUAAUUAUUAUUUUUGUAAAAGAUCACACUACUUAAUAUUCAACAAUGUGAUUUUUUAUUCACUUGUUACUAUGUGUUCUUUCAACCAAUUAUAUGUCAAAAUAUUCAAACACAAAUGAAAUUUGUGAAUGAAAAAGAAAAAACAAUGCUCUUGCAGUAGCCUAAACUUUCACACCUAUUAACUGUUAUUGGAUGGAGUAGGUAAUCCAGAACUUAACAUGUGUUUGUCAUCGGAUCCAAUAUUUAACAGAAACUGAUCUUUACCUAAUUAAGGUUAGGGACAUAAUUAAGCUAACUCUUAAAUAAAAUUUAAAAAUGGUCAAAACUUAUGAGUCAACCAGACAGAUUUUCUUUUAGUAGGUGAUGAACAUAUUUUCGAUUUGAAUCCCUGUAAAAGUUAAUGAAGAUGAGGAUUGAAGUAUUAUUAUUAUUUUAUAUCAAUAAGACAAUAAUGCUGGGGACUCAAUUAUACUAAUAUGAUCUUUUACUGAGUAGAAAUUUAAGUGGCGAUUGUUGAGACAAAAAAUUAAAUUUUAUUUAUUUAUUAUCACUUAAAAUAUAUGACAAAAAAAUUUUAAUACUUCAAGAAAACUCAAAUUAUGAGAGUGCUUAAAUUAUAAUUUGAGUAGCUAAUGAGGAAAUAACAAGGCGAAGCCUUUAUGGCUACAAGUGGUAAAUGAUCAUGAUCCUGUUUUGGAUUGAGGUUGGGUAGCUGUAUCUUAAAAGUUACAAUACUAAAAUAUUUAAUAAAUAUUAACUGCUGUAACUUGAAAACUAUAUUGAUAUGAUUUUUUACUUAUAUGAUGAAAAUUUAUUAUAUCUUUAAUAAUUUUAUCAAAAUUAUUAUUUAAAAAAUAUAUUUAUUAUAUACUAUUAAUUUUUAUUUUAUAUUAAAAAAAUUCUUCAACAAUAGUUGUAUAGCUAAGCUACUAAAACUUCAAUUCUAAAUAAAACCCAUCUUAUAUAUCAAAUUUUGUCGGUGCAUUGACAAUGUUAAAAAAUAUAAUUCUUUUGGAUCCAAAUCAAAGCUGUCAAAUUUAAUUGGAUGAACUCAUUACCAACAAGCAAAGAACAGUAAUCAAAUUUGCACAUUGGCUAUCAUGCGUUGCUAGCUAUAAAUUGAGACCAACCACAUCUCGAUGUUCAUCACCCAUUAAGCAAGCAGCAUGUCAUCUUCUUCAGCAAUAUUCUCCCUCUUCUUCUACUUGUUAGUCAUUUUCUCCAUAGCUAAUGCCCAAGUUCCUGCCGAUGAAACAUUUAAGUUUGUGAAUGAAGGAGAAUUUGGCCCAUUCAUUAAUGAAUACGAUGCAGAUUACAGAAUGAUAAGCAUCUUCAAUUCCCCAUUCCAGGUUGGCUUUACAACACAACACCAAAUGCUGACACCCUUGCUCUCCGUUUGGGCGUGCAGCAAAACGAGCCAAAUUACCGCUGGGUCUGGGAAGCAAACCGGGGCAAACCAGUUCGUGAAAACGCCACCUUUUCUUUGGGAAGCGACGGAAACCUUGUCUUGGCCGAGGCGGACGGUACUGUCGUCUGGCAAUCCAACACAGCCAACAAAGGUGUUGUAGGGUUCAAGUUGCUUCCAAAUGGCAACGUGGUGCUUCAUGACUCAAAGGGUAACUUUAUCUGGCGGAGUUUUGAUUACCCAACUGAUACUCUAUUGGUGGGCCAGUCUCUUCGAGUCGGUGGGGUCACCAAGCUCGUAAGCAGACUCUCCGUUAAAGAAAACGUUGACGGCCCUUACAGCUUUGUAAUGGAGUCUAAUAGAUUGUCACUCUAUUACAAAAGCAGCAAUGCUCCCCGGCCUGUUGUCUACUUCACUUUCCCUGUUCAGUUUAAUAGCUUAAAGAAUGUAACGUUCAAUGCUGCCUCGGAAACUGAUGAAGCUUUUGCUUAUCAACUGACUCUAGACUCUUCAUCCGGUGGCAAUCUCAUUUUGGCAAGGCCAAAGUACAACGCCACAAUAUCGUUCCUCCGGUUAAGCAUAGAAGGGAAUCUCAGGAUCUUUACUUACUACGACAAAGUUGAUUCGCAGCCAACGGAAGAAACAUUCACUCUCGUCGAUAGAGAUUCGAUUUGGGAAACCGAGUGCCAGCUGCCGGAGAGGUUUGGCAAAUUGGGGGUGUGUGAUGACAAUCAAUGUGUUGCUUGCCCUACGGAAAAGGGUUUGAUCGGGUGGAGCAAGGAGUGUGAGGCAAAGAAGGUGACAUCUUGUAGGCCAAAUGACUUUCAUUAUUAUAAAGUUGACGGGGUUGAUCAUUAUUUGAGCAAGUAUACGAGGGGAACUUCAACUAAAAUCGAAGCAUGUGGCAAGAAAUGCACUUCGGAUUGUAAGUGUUUGGGGUACUUUUACCACCAAGAGACAUCGAGAUGUUGGAUUGCUUAUGACUUGAAGACUCUCACUAAAUUCCCAAACUCUUCACAUGUUGGAUUCAUAAAGGUUCCCAACAAGUAAAUGUAAAAUAACGGGAAGCUCAAGUAAUGCUCGGUUAUCAAGGUUGUUUUAUUGUUCGUGUCGUUCAUUAUGGCUAUCGCGCCAUGUUUGAUUCUCUGAUUGAAAUGUUUCUUAAUCUUACUUAUAAUAACAUAUGAAGUUUUUGUUUACGAUAACCUAUCAUAUUCGAUCCUUAUCAAUGCAAGUUGACAUACCAAAGGUGACUAAAAGGCACCAAUGUAAAUUAUAUUGGAUCUUUCGAAUGUUAAAAGCCCAUUUACACUUCCUCGCAAGUUCUUACCCUACAAUGUGGAUCAAUUGCUGUUCAUGCCAACAAAAAUGAACAGAUUGGGCAUGAGCGACGUCUUACUAGCUAGGAGGCCUAAGAUUUCCUCCUAUUAAUUAUGUUACACUAUCUUUAUUUUUUCUUAACUAAAUAAUGAUAGAGUUAUAUAUAUAUAUAUAUAUAUAUAUAUAUAAAUGUGUAUACACUGAUUCAGAAUGAAAAAAUUUAUUGUAUAAAACUGUCAUAGACCUAUAUAACUAUUUUCAUUAACCAUUAUCACUUUUCAAUCAAUUUGUAUACAUUUAUUCAUUCAAAAUUGUUUGUAGCUCUAUCAUUAUUAUUUAUAGUAAUAUUGUUGCAACAAUUUUGGAGGCAUUAAUAAAAAGAAAAGAAUGUUAUUUUUUCAAAUGAACCUAUAAGUAAUAUAAUAAUAAUAAUAAAUCUACAACAAUUUUUAUUCCACUUUUAAGGUUAAUUUGGUAAAAUUAACAUUUUUUUUAUUAAUGUCUUCAUAAUUGUUGCAAGGGUAUUAUUGUAAAAAAUAAAAAAAAGGUAAUGGCAAGAGUGCAAGCAUAAUUAAUAGCAGGAACAUUUAGGGAUUUUUUUAAAAUAUAAAAACUAAACAAAUAUUUAACUCAAAAUAUAAGGAUUGAACAAGCAUUUAUCCGACCUUACUAUAUCUUAUGUUGACACAUAAUCAAUGGGUAUUUUUGCUUUCGCACGUGAGGAAGUCUUUAUUCUCACCCAUAUAUAAGGUCCGGCCCAUUAAGAGUUAUACAUUUACUCAAUAAUCAAUAUGUUGGUGUAAGAAAGUAGAAGAAUACUAGAAUCCUCAUUGCUGUCUCAUGUUUGUCUCCAUACUAGUAGUAGUGGUGGCAGGAGUGUGUUGGGUUGAAUAAGUGAUGGUUGUCAACGCCAGCAAAAAUAAAUACCUACUCUAAAUAAAUUGUGUAUAGUGAUUGAAUAUGGUUGUGUCCACAGAGAUCGGUAAUUAUUUAAAUCCUUUUAAAAUGUAAAAUGCAAAAUGGGGGGAUUGUUGACAAUAAUAAAAAUCAAAUUAAAAUAACAAAAAUGCAAAUUAAAAUUGUAAUUCAAGUUGGGAAAAACUCUGGUUGAAGGAAUUAACUCAGCUUGAUUCGACUACUAAUCAUUGAUUCAAAUAUAAAUCAUUACUACUUAUGAAUAGAUCAGUUAUAGGUACUGAGACCCUCUAAUAGCAAAUCUCUCCCUAACUAGUCGAUAACCGAGGUACGACCAUUGGUUAUUUCCCUAAUCAAUAGACAACUCUAGACACGAUCAUAGAGUUUAAUCAAUUGACAGCCUGAAAAACCAGAGAGACCCAAAUCCUAAUCAACAAACGCAUACGAUGAUUCAUUUAAAUUAGAUUAUUUAUUCUCAUAACACAACGCACUGCUAUGCUAUUUAUCACAAACAUUAAAAUCUUCAUACAAUGAAUCUUUUAAUUCACAAUAGAUUAAGUUGAUAAUUAAAUAGUGGUCAAUUAUCUAAUUAACAAACAUAAUCAUGACAAUAAUUUAGUGAUGGGUGUCGAAGCCAACAAAAAUAAAUUCCUACUCUAAAUAAAUUGUGUAUAGUGAUUGAGCAGGGUCAUGUCCACAGAGAUCGGUAAUUAUUUAAAUCAUUUUGAAACGUAAAACGUAAAAUGAGGGAAUUGUUGACAAUAAUAAAAAUCAAAUUAAAAUAACAAGAAUGCAAAUUAAAGUUGUAAUUUAAAUUGGAGAAAGCUCUGGUUGAAGGAAUUAACUCAGCUUGAUUCGACUACUGAUCAUUGAUUUAAGUAUAUAUUAUUAUUACUUAUGAAUAGACCGGUUAUAGCUAUUGAGACCCUCUAAUAGCCAAUUUCUCCUUAACUAGUCGAUAACCAAGGUACGACCGUUGGAUAUUUCCCUAAUCAAUAGACAACCCUAGAUACGAUCAUAGGAUUUAAUCAAUUGACAGCCUGAAAAACUAGAGAGACCCAAAUCCUAAUCAACACAUAUGAUGAUUCAUUUAAAUUAGAUUGUUUAUUCUCACAACACAACUCUCUGUUAUGUUAUUUGUCACAAACAUUAAAUUCUUCAUACGAUGAAUCAUUUAAUUGACAAUAGAUUAAGUUGAUAAUUAAAUAGUGGCCAAUUUCCUAAUUAACAAACAUAAUCAUGAAACUAAUUCAGAGAAUAAACAAAUACCUAAAAAGUAAUAAAACAAUUAAAGCAUAAGAAAGAUCUCACAGUAGUGAUGAAUCAAAGCUUCAUUAACCUCAACCAGAAAAAUAAGUUUAGUUCUUCAUAGAGAGAAGAGAAAAAUUAGAUCUAGGGUUUCUUUCUUUUUCUCCAAUCUCAAUCCCCCUUUUUGUUAGAGUGCAAUUUAUGCACUAGUUUUGCAUUGUUUACUUCCCUUAAUAUCGAUGUUUUGCACUUAAUAAUAGUGAUUUACUUGUGUUUUACUUUUGUAGGUGCAAUUCUAUUGAUUGGUGAUAAAAUUGAGCUAUAAGAUGAUGUUUAAGGAUGAUUGUUCACUUGGAGAAAUUUAGAGAGUCAGAAGAACUUUGUUGAUAAGGCGUGGGCGCGUGCUGUCAACUGCGAACCUGCAGUUUUUAGUUUAACGUGUUUUCUAUUUUUGGUUAUUUUUGUAAUUACGAAUUUAAUAUUUCAGAUAUUAGUAUUUUAUUUUAAAUAGAAUUCUAGAGGAGAAGAGAGAGAGAGUAUUUAAGGGAGGAAUCAAUUGUGAAAAAAGGAGAGAUUUUGGAUUGAAGGAAAAGAAAGAAACCCUAGAUCUAAUUUUUCUCUUCGCUUUAUGAAGAACUAAACUUAUUUUUCUAGUUGAAGGAUAAUGAAGCUUUAAUUCAUCACUACUGUGAGAUCUUUCUUAUGUUUUAAUUGUUUUAUUACUUUUUGGGUAUUUGUUUAUUCUCUGAAUUAGUUUCAUGAUUAUGUUUGUUAAUUAGGUAAUUGGCCACUAUUUAAUUAUCAACUUAAUCUAUUGUCAAUUAAAGGAUUCAUCGUAUGAAGAUUUUAAUGUUUGUGACAAAUAACAUAGCAGUGAGUUGUGUUAUGAGAAUAAACAAUCUAAUUUAAAUGAAUCAUCAUAUGUGUUGAUUAGGAUUUGAGUCUCUCUGAUUUUUCAGGCUGUCAAUUGAUUAAAUCCUAUGAUCGUAUCUAGGGUUGUCUAUUGAUUAGGGAAAUAUCCAACGGUCGUACCUUGGUUAUAGACUAAUUAAGGAGAGAUUGGCUAUUAGAGUGUCUCAAUAGCUAUAACCGGUCUAUUCAUAAGUAAUAAUAAUCUAUAUUUGAAUCAAUGAUCAGUAGUCGAAUCAAGCUGAGUUAAUUCCUUCAACCAGAACUUUCUCCAAUUUGAAUUACAACUUUAAUUUACAUUCUUGUUAUUUUAAUUUGAUUUUUAUUAUUGUCAACAAUUCCCCCAUUUUACGUUUUACGUUUCAAAAGGAUUUAAAUAAUUACCGAUCUCUGUGGACACGACCCUGCUCAAUCACUAUACACAAUUUAUUUAGAGUAGCAAUUUAUUUUUGUUGGCUUCGACAACCAUCAAAUUUUGGCGCCGUUGCCGAGGAUUGGUGUCGUUUAUUUAAUCCUUUUUACGUUUCACUUGGUGUAUGGUUCGUUCUUCUCGUACAGGUACACUUUCGUUUGAUCCUGAAAUUGAGAAGACAGCUCGCCAGCUGAGACAGCAGACGAAGCGAGCUAAGCAACGAUCCUCGUCGCCUUUGCUUUCUGAAACAGAUACAGUGCCUGAUUUAGUUGAAUCAUCUAGCGAUUCAGAAGAACAAGUAAUGGAUAGACCUGCACAUGUAGAAAGAACUCUUAGAGAGUUAGCUGAACCAGACUUGAAUCAGCAACCACUCUGCAUCCAAUAUGUAGAUUUGGAAGUAAAUUUUGAAUUAAAGUCUGGUCUUAUUCAUUUAUUACCCAAGUUUCAUGGUUUUGCAGGUGAAGAUCCUCAUAAACAUCUUAAGGAGUUUUAUGUUGUGUGUUCAAGUAUGAGACCACAAGGCGUGACUGAAGAGCAGAUUAAGCUGCGUGCUUUUCCGUUCUCUGUAGAUGGGCUAGCUAAAGAUUGGUUGUACUACUUGCCUUCUGGAUCGAUUACAACGUGGAAUGGUUUGAAGAAGCAGUUCCUUGAGAAGUACUUUCCUACUUCAAGAGCUGCCAACAUUAGAAAAGAUAUUUGUGGGAUCAGACAACUUCCUGGGGAGACUUUGUAUGAGUAUUGGGAGCGAUUCAAACAAUUGUGUGCCAGUUGUCCUCAGCAUUAGAUUUCUGAUCAACUUCUUAUUCAAUAUUUUUACGAAGGACUGUCAUUGAUGGAUAGGAGUAUGAUAGAUGCUGCUAGUGGAGGCGUGUUGGUGAACAAGACCCCUACUCAAGCAAGGGAGUUGAUAUCAAAUAUGGCUGCCAAUGCACAACAAUUUGGCAGUAGGCAAGAUCUCAUUUCAAGAAAGGUGAAUGAGGUAAAUAUUUCUUCUGUUGAACAACGUUUAGAUAAACUUACUUCUCUUAUGGAAAAGUUUGUUGUAGGUAAUGUGCAAUAGGUGAAGACUUGUGGCAUUUGUUACAAUAUAGGUCAUUCAACUGAUAUGUGUCCUACACUUCAAGAAGAACCCGUUGAACAAGCCAAUGCAAUUGGAGGAUUUCCAGGCAUGCCUUAGAGGAGGUAUGAUCCUUAUGCACAAACAUACAAUCCGGGAUAGAAGGAUCAUCCCAACUUCAGCUAUGGAGUUAGGCCGUCAGGAUUCCCACAACAGUAUCCACCAAGACAACCAACACCUCCACAGUCAAACUCCAAGUCAGGUAUAUCUCUUGAAGAAAUUGUUAAAUCACUUGCGACUAACACUCAACAAUUUCAGCAGGCAACUACAGCAAGCAUUCAGAACUUGGAGAACCAAAUGAGUCAAUUGGCGACUACAGUGAGCCGUCUGGAGUCUCAAGUAUUAGGGAGAUUGCCUUCACAAUCUGAGGUGAAUCCAAAGCAAAACGUUAGUGCUGUCAUCCUUAGAAGUGGGACGGAGUUGCAAGAGCCUAGUAAGAAAGUAACAAAGUAUGUAGAAGAUGAGCUUGAGAAUAAUGAAUUGAUGCCUAAAUCUCAAGAUGCGCAACCCACCAGAGCGAAACCUUUACCUAUUGUGAUACCUCCUCCUUUUCCAAGCCGGUUUGCAAAAUCCAAGAAGGAGGAACAAGAGAAAGACAUCCUUGAGACAUUUCGCAAGGUUGAGGUAAAUAUUCCUUUAUUAGAUGCUAUAAAACAAAUACCUCAAUAUGCUAAAGUCCUUAAGGAACUAUGCACCUCUAAGAGAAAAUUAAGAGGAGAUGAAAAAGUUCACAUGGGGGAGAAUGUUUCAGCAGUUCUUCAAAAGAAACUACCUCCUAAGUGCAAGGAUCCAUGUAUGUUUACUAUCCCUUGUAAAAUUGGUAGUGUUAGAAUUGAAAAGGCUUUGUUAGAUCUAGGAGCUUCUAUUAAUGUCAUGCCUCGUUCUAUUUAUUCAUCUUUGAAUAUUGGUCCAUUAAAAGAAACUGGCGUGAUAAUUCAACUAGCCGAUAGGUCUAAUGCAUAUCCUGAUGGGGUAUUAGAAGAUGUCUUAGUACAAGUUAAUGAGUUGGUUUUUCCUGCUGAUUUUUAUGUACUUGAUAUGGAAGAGGAUAACUCCUCUAAUUUUGUCCCAAUUUUGCUAGGAAGACAUUUUCUUAAGACUGCUAGGACUUAAAUAGAUGUACAUAAAGGGACUCUCACUAUGGAGUUUGAUAGAGAGGUUAUAGAAUUCAAUAUGAAUGAUGCCAUGAAAUAUCCUAGUGAGGAACAUUCGGUAUUUUCUGUGGAUGUUAUUAACCCUAUAGUGCAGGCAGUUUUUUACAAGAAAAAGACGAAGACAUUUCAUGAUAGAAUGAUUUUGAGAAACGAGUUCUCUGUUGGUCAAAAAGUUCUUCUUUUUCAUUCUAAACUUAAACUUUUUCUGGGUAAAUUACGUUAUUGCUGGGUUGGACCUUUUAUUGUUACUAAUGUUUUUCCUCAUGGUGCAGUUGAGAUUCAAAAUCCGACCUCUGACAAAGUUUUUAAGGUUAACGGUCAUCGCUUAAAACCUUUUUAUGAAGGUUUUUCGGUGAAUAUUGUGGAGGAUGUGGCUCUUGAGAGUCCCAAUUAUGGAGAUUGAUGCAUAAAUGUGUCUAGCCAAAUACAUAAAACAAAUGCGCUUUUUGGGAGGCAACCCAAAUGAUUUGUUUAUUUUGGUUUUUGUUUUAUCUUCUUUUAGUUUUGAUUCAGAUUUAAAAAAAAAAUUUAAUGUGUUUGCUUAUCUUGGUCAGAAGAAAAUUUUUGAUAAGGCGUGCCCACGUUUUAACUAAUAAGUACUUCUGAAAUUUUUAAAGUAAAAUAGUUUUAAGGCAUGCCCACGUACUUAUUAGAAAAGUACUUCUGAAAUUUUUAGUGUCUCAAAAAAAAAAAUUUAAUGUGUUUGCUUAUUUUGGUCAGAAGAAAAUUUUUGAUAAGGCGUGCCCACGUGCUUAUUAGAAAAGUACUUCUGAAAUUUUUAGUGUUUCAAAGUGAUUCAUCACUAAAAAAAAAAAAAAUAGCAAUGUAUUUAUUUAUUUAUUUUUUCUAUCUUUUCUUUCUUUUAUAUAUAUAUAUAUAUAUUUUUUAUUUAAAAAAAAUAAAAAAAAACACAAAAAUCACAAAUCACUGUUCACAAAUCCCUAAUUCAAAAAAAAAAAAAUUUCACUGUUGAUUAUCUUUCUCACCCGCAACAACCAGCAACCAGCAGUCGCAGCCCACGCAUCAGCAGCAGCCGCGCGCAACGCAACGCAGCACCAGCAUCCCGCGACCAACGAGCAGCAACUCGCGCGCGCAGAUUCAGUUCCACCCGCAGCGCGCAGUAUCCCACAACGCAGCCCCAGCAGCACGAAUCAGCGUCACCAACGCAACCAGCCUGCGCGCAGCAAGCUCCAGCCAUCACCAUCGCGCAGCGCAUCAGUCCCGCGCGCGCAACGCAACGCAGCACCAGCAUCCCACGUCUAGCAAGCAGCAACUUGCACGCACAGAUCCAGCCUUCGUCCAGCAGCGCAUAGAACCAGCGUCAGCCCAGUUCUCGCGCACAACACAGCCCACGCAGCGUGCAGAUCCAGCAGCCCCAGCGCGCGCGCGCAACACAAUCAGCGCCAUCCCGCGUCCAUCAAGCAAGCUCCAGCCAAGCAGCAAUCACAACGCAACCAGCCUACGACCUGUAUUCCAGCCGGGUAAAUCGAAAUCCGUGAGUGCAAUCAUUGUAACAAUGCCGAAGAGGAAAGCAUUAAGCAUCUAAUUCCAAGUCAUCUAAAAAGACACCCGUCGCAAAGAAAUCGAAGAUUGCCGCUCCCACUAUGGUUCCAUGGAACACAAUUUCGGAUUCACGCUAAGCCGUAAGACAAAGAUCGAAACAUGGAAAAAGCAUGAGUGUUUUGCCACUUGCGGAAUCCAAUCUCGGAGGGUGCCUCGCAUUCGCGACUCAACAAGAGAAAAAGAGGAAUUUUUGGAUAUGUCUGUGUUUGAAAGAACAGGUGUUGUCGAAUUCAAGGAGGGGAGAUUUUAGUUUACUGAACCAGGACCCACUCAACCUCCAAAGAAGCUUUAUGCUAGGAGUGGUGCUACCUCUGAUGAUGAGUUUGACGACGACACUGCUGCCCCACCAACUAUUCCUUCUACAUCUGCACCACCUUUGAGCAUUCAGUUAGAAAAAAUAGAGCACAAGCUGAACAAGAUGGAGCAGAAUUUGGCCGCAUACUUCGAGAGUGUGGGAUUUACCCCACCAUUUCCGCCAAGCCCAUAGACGUUAUGUGGAUCAAAGCUCACAAUUCAGGGAAGUUUCUUUUUGCCUUUAAUCUUUUAUCCUUACGCUUUAAUUUUUAUGUGAGCUUUGAUUAUCUUACAUUAGGGACAAUGUAAGUUCUUGGUGUGGGGGAGGGAUUUUUGCAUUAUUGAUGCCUGGAAUUAUUAUUUUCACUCUACUCAUUUAUUUUCACUCUACUCAUCCUUAAAUGAUUUUUGAGUUAGUAUUCUUCAUAUAUUAUUAAUUUUCUUUUCCUUUCUCUCUCACUACUCUUUUCCCAUCUAUCUCAAAUUAUUUACAUCUAUUUUUUUCUAUCAUAUUCUUUCAUCACUCACAUUUUAUCUUUCAAUUUUCUUUUUACUACAUACAUCUUUCUCGCUUAUUAUCCUUUUUACCUUUCCUUUUAUUUCUCACUCAUACCUUCUUCUCAUUCUACACCACUGUUGAUGGUUGAUUCAUUUGAAGAGUGUACACGAUUUGAUGGCAAAUUUACCAACUUUGUGAAGAUUUGAGCCUAUGAGCAACCACUUUGCUAUAAUUAUUUUUGUUAUGUGAAUAUCAAUCCUAGUUUGUUUAUUCUAGAACUUGCUUUGUUAUGCAUGUUGAAGCCACGUUACGGGAUUUUAUGCAUUAAAAUGAUAAGGGCAAACCAUUUACCAUUUUUCUAUUCUCGCAUUUUUCUUUUUCUCUACCCGAAGACCUUUAAUUGCUACCUUUGUUUGAGCCUUAACCAUUACCCAUCUAAUUCUCUCCAUUUACUUAACCAUUUUUCUUCUUUUUGAGCCUCAAUUUAAGGAGAUUUUUGGACUCAUUGUGUGGAUAUAUUUUGUUGCUUUUUCUACCUUGUAUUAAAGUUUCUCAAUUAGAUCAACAAGCAUUAUGCUUGAAUUAAAUUGUGCAAGGUUCGUUUCUUUGUUUUGAUUCAAAAAAAAAAACAAAACAAAAAAAAGGAAAAAGAAAAAAAAGAGGAAAAAGAAAAAAAAAGAAAAAAAAGAAAAAUCGAAAAAAAAGAAGAAGUUUACAUUCUUGGUGACUUGAGUAGAAAUAAGCAUUUUGAUAUCAUAAGUUCAUUCAAUGAGUUCAUUCUUCUCAUUUUGAUCUUUUUUUUCUCUUUCAUGGACCUUUCUUUUUCAUUUAACCUAUUUAACCCCAUUACAACCAUUUUAAGACCCUUAGAUUUUUGCAUUUUAUUCAUGUUUUGUGGAUUGAGAUGUGAUAUAUGAGCAAUCUUAUGGUAAUAGCAUUCUUUGAUUUGAUUUGAGUGAAUAAAUGACACCCUAAACACUUUGAGUGCAUAGAGUGAAGUUAUUGAGAGGGCUAUUAAAUCUUGUUGCACUUGAAUUUUGAAUGGAUCUUCUUGGUGGUUGAAUGUUCUUAUUCUAUCUUAUGAAAUUCUAUGCUCUAAAAUCCUUGUCUCUCGAAUGUUGAUCGACUUAAUUUCUUGAGGUUUGCUUGCUUAAAAUUGUUUUUGGAUGAGUUGAGAUGAGAAUUGAGUGGAGAUUUGGAAUUAAUCUUGACUUAUAUGCUUGAGGACAAGCAUCAUCUUGGUGUGGGGGAAUUUGUUAGAGUGCAAUUUAUGCACUAGUUUUGCAUUGUUUACUUCCCUUAAUAUCGAUGUUUUGCACUUAAUAAUAGUGAUUUACUUGUGUUUUACUUUUGUAGGUGCAAUUCUAUUGAUUGGUGAUAAAAUUGAGCUAUAAGAUGAUGUUUAAGGAUGAUUGUUCUCUUGGAGAAAUUUAGAGAGUCAGAAGAACUUUGUUGAUAAGGCGUGGGCGCGUGCUGUCAACUGCGAACCUGCAUUUUUUAGUUUAACGUGUUUUCUAUUUUUGGUUAUUUUUGUAAUUACGAAUUUAAUAUUUCAGAUAUUAGUAUUUUAUUUUAAAUAGAAUUUUAGAGGAGAAGAGAGAGAGAGUAUUUAAGGGAGGAAUCAAUUGUGAAAAAAGGAGAUAUUUUGGAUUGGAGGAAAAGAAAGAAACCCUAGAUCUAAUUUUUCUCUUCUCUUUAUGAAGAACUAAACUUAUUUUUCUGGUUGAAAGAUAAUGAAGCUUUGAUUUAUCACUACUGUGAGAUCUUUCUUAUGUUUUAAUUAUUUUAUUACUUUUUGGGUAUUUGUUUAUUCUCUGAAUUAGUUUUAUUACUGUGAGAUUUUGGUUUAGUUCCUCAUAGAGAUAAGAGAAAAAUUAGAUCUAGGGUUUCUUUCUUUUUCUCCACAUCCCCCUUUUUCACAAUAAAUUCCUCCCUUAAAUACUCUCUCUCUCUUCUCCUCUAGAAUUCUAUUUAAAAUAAAAUACUAAUAUCUGAAAUAUUAAAUUCGUAAUUACAAAAUAACCAAAAAUACAAAACACGUUAAACUAAAAACUGCAGGUCUGCAAUUGACAGCACGCUCCCACGCCUUAUCAACAAAGUUCUUUUGAGGCUCAUAAUUUCUCCCAGAGAACAAUCAUCCUUAAACAUCAUCUUAUAGCUCAAUUUUAUCAUCAAUCAAUAGAAUUUCACCUACAAUAGUAAAACACAAGUAAAUCACUAUUAUUAAGUGCAAAACAUUGAUAUUAAGGGAAGUAAAUAAUGCAAAACUAGUGCAUAAAUUGCACUUUAACAUUUAGAGAAUAAACAAAUACCCAAAAAGUAAUAAAACAAUUAAAGCAUAAGAAAGAUAUCAUAGUAAUGAUGAAUCAAACCUUUAUUAACCUUCAACCAGAAUAAUAAGUUUAGUUUUUCAUAGAGAGACGAUAAAAAUUUAGAUUUAGGGUUUCUUUUUCUUCCCCCUUCAAAAAUCUCCUUCUCCCCUUGUUUUUCCAAGGGUUUUUCCAAAAAUAAAAUAUUAAUAUCUAAAAUAUUAUCUAAAUAUUAAAUUUAAAAUUACAAAAAUAACCAAAAAGAUAAAAACACGUUAAAAUAAAAACUGCAAGUCCUUAGAUGACAACACGCGCUCACGCCUUAUCAAUAAAGUUCUUCUGAAGCUCAUAAUUUCUCCAGGAAAACAAUUAUCCUUAAACAUCAUCUUGUAGCUCAAUUUUAGCAUCAAUCAAUAGAAUUGCACCUACAAAAAUCAAACACAAGUAAAUCACUAUUAUUAAAUGCAAAACAUCGAUAUUAAAGGAAGUAAACAAUGCAAAACUAGUGCAUAAAUUGCACUCUAACAAUAAGGCUUGUCAAAAUCCAACCAACCCAUUAUUGAAUGGGUUGAAAUAAAAUCAAUCCAAUUCAACUGAAUAAAUAUGUUCAACCUAAUCCAAUUCAACUCUUAAUUUAUCAGAUUGAGUUGGGUCGAGUUGAUUGGAUUGAAGGUAAAAUUAAAAAUUAAAAACUAAAAUAAAGAAAAAGAUAUGAAAUUUGAAAUGAAACUUAUUAAAAUCAAAUAUAAAAUAUUAUAAUAUGAAAUUUUCAUUUAUCGUCUAGUGUUUGAUAAAGAAAACUAAAGUCUACCAUCUUAAAAUUAAGAAACCUUUGACAAUGAACUUCUAGACAUGCAUAUUCUAUGAAAAUAAAUAAACCAAUUCAAUAUUGCAAGUUAAAAUUACAAUUAAGAAUGAAUAAAUGAAAGAAAUACAUUAUUUUAAUUGAGAAUUGAGAUUUAAGAGGGUGAUUUUAGUUUUUGAAUUAUAAUCUAGGCAGUAGAUAUGAGAAUAAAAUAGUCUCUUUUAUAAAAAAAAAUAAAAAGAGGUUAAAAUGCUGCCCCACAUUUGAAGAGUAGCAGCCCUGACCACCCGGCCAAAGUCUCUUUUAUAAAAGCAGUUCAAACCCCCCACAAAUACAUUGUAGGGGUAAGUCCUUCGUUAAUUAUGUAUAAUUGAGUGAAUGUAAUCUUCUCCUUUACCAAGUGUGAGGUAAGUAGACAUCUCUCAAAUAUUUAUGAGGGUUAAAAAUCUGAGCAAUGCUUCAUUAGAAUUGAUGUAAACUAAUCUCAACAAUAAAUUAAUUUGUAAAUAUCAGUUAUAGUAUUAUGUAAUAUGAGUAAUAGUCUCAUGUAAUUAAGAAAAAAAGAGAGGUUAAAAUGUAGGUUAGCCGAUUAGGCUUUACGGUUUUGCAGUUAAGAAUUAACAUAUUUUCAUUAUUAUUAUUUAAAUGGCUUGGGUUGGGUUGGAUUAAAAAAAUUUAUCAUGUCUAAUGUAACUCAACCCAAUUAUUAAUUGGGUUUAUAAAAAUUUGACCCAAUUAACCCAUAUUAACUCACCCAACUCAAUAAAUUUAUAUUGAGUUGGAUUGAGUUGAAUCGAGUACAUUAGAUUAGAUUUUGUUUACCCACCCUAGCACACUACGGAUACGACUUUUAUAAAGUAAGCAAGUGGAGAAUACAGCAGAACCAUAGAUUCAUUGAGAGUCUACAUCGAUCCGGUGACAAUUUGGUCCAAAAUUUUGUUCGAAGAACAGAAAGGUCGACCCUCAGUACGAAUUGGAUUUGGGAGAGUCGGUCAAAGUAGAUAAUUAAAGCUCUGCCCCAGUGACUUCAUUCAUUCCUUUAAUUGUUUUAUUGACAAACAAAUUAACACUCUCCAUUCAUUUCAUGUUAACAUUGGACACAAAAUCUAUUAUCGUACUAAAACAAGCUUUACAAUCGCUCCAAUCCGAAAAAUAAGGCCGAAAAUCGAGCUACCAAAAAACAACAAAAAAAAAAGGCAAAUACUUAUAUACAAUGGGUAACCAUCUGCUUCACAUAAAAUGAUUACAGAGUAUUGAUAUUUGAAUCGAAGAAUCCAUUGCCGUAGUAACAAAAUGACAGUAAAAUCAUAUGUUGUUAUAAUGUUAGGUAAAAAGUUAGUACUAUUUUUAAUUGAUACUGUAAAAUUGCAGUCGGAGUCUUCAAAUCCUAACCCAACAUUUCGAAGUCUCCUGGUGAUAAAAUUUUCCCGAACACUUGCAAUCCGAAGUACAUUGUUCCCUUGUAUACUUUGCUCAUAAAAUGAUUGACUCCUUCAACCGUAUAAAUAAUGAAAAUCAUUUGGCUUACAAGAAGCAACUUUCUUCGCCUCGCACUCUUUGUUCCGGCCAAGCAGACCAUUCUCAGUAGGGCACGCUACACACUGAUUCAUAUUUGCAGACAUUGAAUUCAACUGGCUCAAAAUACCAUUUGACUCGAAACAAUGUGUGAUUUACGAUAACGAAUAAAAUAUUUAUCUUAAUCUAUGGAAGCUGAUGAGAUGGAAACUUUUUUUUUUUGCCCCCACAAAGCAUAAGAUAAAACUGGGCAGUGGGCAGGCAAAUGUACGUGGCGCCAGAAAGUCAAACGAAAGCAUUGAUUGAUAAUUGACAAAGUCAAAUUGAAAUUAAAAUAUAAAAAAGAAACUUUACAUUAGACACAGAAAUUACAAAACAAUGGGAUGGUAGCUCAAACAGAAUUGGAAAUUAUUGGCUUCCAAAUUCUCAGAGAGCCGCCCAUUUUCUAGAUAACGAUCAUAGCAAUUGGAGCCCCCCAAUCCUCCGGCUUUAAGGAAAAAUGUGAGCCCAUCCACGCAUAAGUUGGCGGUUCCCAGUAUCCCUCCGGCAGCUGACACUCUGUAAUGUCCCAAUCUGAAUCUCUGUCAAAGAAUGUGAAUGUCGUUUGCGUUGGACCCCAAUCAGCACUUUCAUCGCAAGGGUAGAUCUUGAGAUUUCAAGAGAGUAUCCAUCGGAUAAUCAAAACUCUGUCAAAUAAAGUUUCCCUUUGAGUCAUGAAGCACCAUGUUGACAUUUGAAAGCAACUUGAAUACAUGAUAAAAUUAAGAAUUUUGAACCUACAUAAAAGAUGCUAGGACUAAAAUUAGAAUUAGUUAAGACUCACAAUUUAGAGAUUAAUUUUGAAAGACUAAAUAAUUGAAAGUAAGUCCUUUUGAUUUAUGAGGACUGGGAUGUAAUUACAUUCCAUGCCCUGACACACAUGCGCUGCUCUGAUCAACUAUUUUAUCUCUGCCGUGACAAACAAAAUAAAUAAAGAAAGUACUUUUGAUUCAAAGCACCCAAAAUAAUCAAGAAAAACGAAAAGAGUAAAGUGAA